UGGCUGGCUUACCUUUUCCCGUAGAUGCCAGCCAUCUUGGUAAAUGUACAUCCCCCACAUAGACCCAUGUCCCCCAGUCGACUGCAAACAUGAACCACUUUGCUACUAGCUAAAAGGAACUGACUACAACUUUGAAAAAGUUCCUAUGUGGGGGUGAGGGGGGAAAGAAAAAUGCGGAGGAAGUGUUUCGGGAAUACCGUGUUUCUGCCGAAGUCUUUGCCGGUCGUGGACCGGGUGUCCGAGGAAUUCCCUCAUGACAACGAAGCCGAGGGUGUCGCAAAUGGGAUAGCGAGAGAAAAAGAGAGAGAGCAGCUGAAAGGAAAUAGCGAUGAGAGACGAGGAAGAGAGAGAAGAACUGAGUAAUGCGAUAGAGGAGGAAAAGAGAGGUGUGUUAUAGCACCACACAAUUUUG
Molecule: non-coding RNA, 412 nt
Organism: Schizosaccharomyces pombe (fission yeast)
Lineage: Eukaryota; Fungi; Ascomycota; Schizosaccharomycetes; Schizosaccharomycetales; Schizosaccharomycetaceae
Source: the annotation of a GenBank genome assembly